RNAcentral lists this ribosomal RNA (301 nucleotides) under uncultured bacterium. RNAcentral describes it as "partial 16S ribosomal RNA". It matches the Rfam family "Bacterial small subunit ribosomal RNA", at positions 509 to 807 of the family's 1533-position model. The record is from RNAcentral.
CAGUCGCCACGGUAAUACGUAGGGUGCAAGCGUUAAUCGGAAUUACUGGGCGUAAAGCGUGCGCAGGCGGUUAUAUAAGACAGAUGUGAAAUCCCCGGGCUCAACCUGGGAACUGCAUUUGUGACUGUAUAGCUAGAGUACGGCAGAGGGGGAUGGAAUUCCGCGUGUAGCAGUGAAAUGCGUAGAUAUGCGGAGGAACACCGAUGGCGAAGGCAAUCCCCUGGGCCUGUACUGACGCUCAUGCACGAAAGCGUGGGGAGCAAACAGGAUUAGAGACCCCUGUAGUCCCUGUCUCUUAUAC